GGAUAUUAAUCAAACUCCAGUCAAGUGUUCUGCCGAUCAAUCAUGCCUUAAAUCAUGCUCGCAAGGAUCUUCCAGCGAAACUGGUAAAUAACUGAUCCUCUCCCUCUCAUUGCCAUCUAUGUUAUUUGAAUAAAGGAUUCUUGUUCAUCGUGUUCCCCAUCUUAAAACCAUCUGAAACACUCAUUUUGAUGGAUUGCGGUACUCAAAUCAGAAUGCAUGUUAUCAGCUCUGUCUUCUGAAAGAAUAACGUCCGUUUGAUACAAGAGAAGACCAAAAUAGAAAAAACAAAGGCUGGGCUUUUCAAAACUCCUUCCUAAUGUUAGAGCUAGCUAUCUGGCUGCUUCUACUGCCACACAAAGAAGGAUAACCUUUAAUGUAUAGCUUUUUGUCCAUUCUCGUUUGAGUAUGUAAUGGCCUAAAAGUCAGUCAAGCUUGUUGUUUGGUCAGAUAAUGCAAGCAGAAAAGUGAGUCAUAGUCUGGUCCGAACAUUACUAUUUGCACACAUUGCUACUUCUGUCUCAGUCAUGAUCUCAUCACCAUUUAUUUUGCUGCUGCUGCAACUGCUACUACUUCUGCAGGAUUGCCAAGCUGCUGCUGCUGCAGAUGGGGGAAAUUGUGAACCUUCGUCUUGUGGGAACAUCCCCGUCAUUAAGGACCCUUUUCUACUCACCACCGAUCCCCAUAUAUGUGGAGAUUACAACUAUAGCCUGUCAUGUCAGAGCAAUACGACAAUAUUGUAUCUGAUGAACUCUUCUGCAAGAUUCUAUGUGCAAGCAAUCAACUACA
This 786-nucleotide long non-coding RNA is filed under the name Linum usitatissimum (flax). Its description in RNAcentral is "long non-coding RNA (LUSI_LNC003132)". Lineage: Eukaryota; Viridiplantae; Streptophyta; Magnoliopsida; Malpighiales; Linaceae. The record is from RNAcentral.